Molecule: ribosomal RNA, 1675 nt
Filed under: Escherichia coli
Lineage: Bacteria; Pseudomonadati; Pseudomonadota; Gammaproteobacteria; Enterobacterales; Enterobacteriaceae
Description: partial 23S ribosomal RNA
Rfam family: Bacterial large subunit ribosomal RNA
Source: RNAcentral
CCCCGAGGAAAAGAAAUCAACCGAGAUUCCCCCAGUAGCGGCGAGCGAACGGGGAGGAGCCCAGAGCCUGAAUCAGUGUGUGUGUUAGUGGAAGCGUCUGGAAAGGCGCGCGAUACAGGGUGACAGCCCCGUACACAAAAAUGCACAUGCUGUGAGCUCGAUGAGUAGGGCGGGACACGUGGUAUCCUGUCUGAAUAUGGGGGGACCAUCCUCCAAGGCUAAAUACUCCUGACUGACCGAUAGUGAACCAGUACCGUGAGGGAAAGGCGAAAAGAACCCCGGCGAGGGGAGUGAAAAAGAACCUGAAACCGUGUACGUACAAGCAGUGGGAGCCUCUUUAUGGGGUGACUGCGUACCUUUUGUAUAAUGGGUCAGCGACUUAUAUUCUGUAGCAAGGUUAACCGAAUAGGGGAGCCGAAGGGAAACCGAGUCUUAACUGGGCGUUAAGUUGCAGGGUAUAGACCCGAAACCCGGUGAUCUAGCCAUGGGCAGGUUGAAGGUUGGGUAACACUAACUGGAGGACCGAACCGACUAAUGUUGAAAAAUUAGCGGAUGACUUGUGGCUGGGGGUGAAAGGCCAAUCAAACCGGGAGAUAGCUGGUUCUCCCCGAAAGCUAUUUAGGUAGCGCCUCGUGAAUUCAUCUCCGGGGGUAGAGCACUGUUUCGGCAAGGGGGUCAUCCCGACUUACCAACCCGAUGCAAACUGCGAAUACCGGAGAAUGUUAUCACGGGAGACACACGGCGGGUGCUAACGUCCGUCGUGAAGAGGGAAACAACCCAGACCGCCAGCUAAGGUCCCAAAGUCAUGGUUAAGUGGGAAACGAUGUGGGAAGGCCCAGACAGCCAGGAUGUUGGCUUAGAAGCAGCCAUCAUUUAAAGAAAGCGUAAUAGCUCACUGGUCGAGUCGGCCUGCGCGGAAGAUGUAACGGGGCUAAACCAUGCACCGAAGCUGCGGCAGCGACGCUUAUGCGUUGUUGGGUAGGGGAGCGUUCUGUAAGCCUGCGAAGGUGUACUGUGAGGUAUGCUGGAGGUAUCAGAAGUGCGAAUGCUGACAUAAGUAACGAUAAAGCGGGUGAAAAGCCCGCUCGCCGGAAGACCAAGGGUUCCUGUCCAACGUUAAUCGGGGCAGGGUGAGUCGACCCCUAAGGCGAGGCCGAAAGGCGUAGUCGAUGGGAAACAGGUUAAUAUUCCUGUACUUGGUGUUACUGCGAAGGGGGGACGGAGAAGGCUAUGUUGGCCGGGCGACGGUUGUCCCGGUUUAAGCGUGUAGGCUGGUUUUCCAGGCAAAUCCGGAAAAUCAAGGCUGAGGCGUGAUGACGAGGCACUACGGUGCUGAAGCAACAAAUGCCCUGCUUCCAGGAAAAGCCUCUAAGCAUCAGGUAACAUCAAAUCGUACCCCAAACCGACACAGGUGGUCAGGUAGAGAAUACCAAGGCGCUUGAGAGAACUCGGGUGAAGGAACUAGGCAAAAUGGUGCCGUAACUUCGGGAGAAGGCACGCUGAUAUGUAGGUGAAGUCCCUCGCGGAUGGAGCUGAAAUCAGUCGAAGAUACCAGCUGGCUGCAACUGUUUAUUAAAAACACAGCACUGUGCAAACACGAAAGUGGACGUAUACGGUGUGACGCCUGCCCGGUGCCGGAAGGUUAAUUGAUGGGGUUAGCGGUAACGCGAAGCUC